This 429-nucleotide ribosomal RNA is filed under the name Acidobacteriota bacterium. RNAcentral's name for it is "Acidobacteria bacterium partial 16S ribosomal RNA". It matches the Rfam family "Bacterial small subunit ribosomal RNA", at positions 355 to 776 of the family's 1533-position model. The record is from RNAcentral. Lineage: Bacteria; Pseudomonadati; Acidobacteriota.
UGGGGAAUCUUCCGCAAUGGACGAAAGUCUGACGGAGCAACGCCGCGUGAGUGAAGACGGCCUUCGGGUUGUAAAGCUCUGUUAUACGGGACGAACGGGCGAGAGGUUAAUACCCUUUCGUUGUGACGGUACCGUAAGAGAAAGCCACGGCUAACUACGUGCCAGCAGCCGCGGUAAUACGUAGGUGGCAAGCGUUGUCCGGAAUUAUUGGGCGUAAAGGGUGCGCAGGCGGUCUCUUAAGUCUGUCUUAAAAGUGCGGGGCUUAACCCCGUGAGGGGACGGAAACUGGGAGACUGGAGUAUCGGAGAGGAAAGCAGAAUUCCUAGUGUAGCGGUGAAAUGCGUAGAUAUUAGGAGGAAUACCAGUGGCGAAAGCGGCUUUCUGGACGACAACUGACGCUGAGGCACGAAAGCCAGGGGAGCGAACGGG